GAUGAAGAACGUAGCGAAAUGCGAUACGUAAUGUGAACUGCAGAAUUCAGUGAAUCAUCGAAUCUUUGAACGCAUAUUGCGCUCUCUGGUAUUCCGGAGAGCAUGCUUGUUUGAGUAUCAGUAAACACCUCAACUUCCAUAUCUUUUUUGAAAUGGGAGUUGGACUUGAGUGAUCCCAACGCUUUUCCUCACCGAAAAGUGGCGGGUUACUUGAAAUGCAGGUGCAGCUGGACUUUUCUCUGAGCUAUAAGCAUAUCUAUUUAGUCUGCCUAAAAAACAGAUUAUUACCUUUGCUGCAGCUAACAUAAAGGAGAUUAGUUCUUGUGCUGACUGAUGCAGGAUUCACAAAGACAGGCUUCGGCCGACUUUGUAAACUCGAUCUCAAAUCAAGUAAGACUACCCGCUGAACUUAAGCAUAUCAAUAAGCGGAGGA
This 433-nucleotide unclassified non-coding RNA is filed under the name soil metagenome. Its description in RNAcentral is "partial contains 5.8S ribosomal RNA, internal transcribed spacer 2, and large subunit ribosomal RNA". The stretch from base 1 to 120 matches the Rfam family "5.8S ribosomal RNA", at positions 35 to 154 of the family's 154-position model. The record is from RNAcentral.